RNAcentral lists this ribosomal RNA (499 nucleotides) under uncultured bacterium. RNAcentral's name for it is "bacterial SSU rRNA". It matches the Rfam family "Bacterial small subunit ribosomal RNA", at positions 899 to 1397 of the family's 1533-position model. The record is from RNAcentral.
ACUCAAAGGAAUUGACGGGGGCCCGCACAAGCGGUGGAGCAUGUGGUUUAAUUCGACGCAACGCGAAGAACCUUACCAGGUCUUGACAUGUUAUUGCAAGGCAAAGAGAUUUGUCCCUCCCUUCGGGGACGAUAAUACAGGUGGUGCAUGGUUGUCGUCAGCUCGUGUCGUGAGAUGUUGGGUUAAGUCCCGCAACGAGCGCAACCCUUGUUGUUAGUUGCCAGCACGAAAGGUGGGCACUCUAAUGAGACUGCCGGUGACAAACCGGAGGAAGGUGGGGAUGACGUCAAAUCAUCAUGCCCUUUAUGACCUGGGCUACACACGUGCUACAAUGGCCUGUACAAAGGGAAGCGAAGGAGCGAUCCGGAGCAAAUCCCAUAAAACAGGUCUCAGUUCGGAUUGCAGGCUGCAACUCGCCUGCAUGAAGUCGGAAUCGCUAGUAAUCGCAGAUCAGCAUGCUGCGGUGAAUACGUUCCCGGGCCUUGUACACACCGCCCGU